AUAUAUUCCCGUACCGGCUUUCAGCCGCCAAAACCGAGGCUUGGAGUACUAACCUCCGGGUCCGGGCUUACUGCUCCUUCGGGGGCGGGAUGCCCUGGCCUGUUGGGACCGAUCCUUGUAGUAGGUCAGCGCAGGAGUGACGCAGAAGGGUAGCCGGCCGCGGAGGUGGUCUUCCGUGGUCAAGCACGCAGGGCGUGGGACAGGCAAAUCCGUCCCGCAUGGGUCCGAGGUGCGAUGAUGGGGGCCUUAUGGCCCGAUAUCCGGUGAUCCCGGCUGCCGAGAAAAGCUUCGGCGUCAGGCUCAAAGCCGCCCGUACCCCAAACCGACACUGGUGGUCAGGUAGAGAAUACCAAAGCGAUCGAGCGAAUCCUGGUCAAGGAACUCGGCAAAUCACUCCCGUUCCUUCGGUUUAAGGGAGACCCCCGAUGGUGAACACACUUGCUGUGGGAGCUUUUGGGGGUGGCACAGACCAGGGGGUAGCGACUGUUUACCAAAAACACAGGUGCAUGCGAAGGCGCAAGCCGCUGUAUAUGCACUGACGCCUGCCCGGUGCCGGAAGGUUAAGAGGAUCCGUCAGCCUUCGGGUGAAGCGGUGAAUUCAAGCCCCGGUAAACGGCGGUGGUAACAAUAACCAUCCUAAGGUAGCGAAAUUCCUUGUCGGGUAAGUUCCGACCUGCACGAAUGGCGUAACGACUUCCCCACUGUCUCGACCAGGAGCUCGGCGAAAUUGCAGUACGAGUAAAGAUGCUCGUUAAGCGCAGAAGGACGAAAAGACCCCGGGACCUUUACUAUACCUUGGUAUUGGCAUUCGGUGUGGAUUGUGUAGCAUAGGCGGGAGGCCGAGAGGCGCGGUCGCCAGAUCGCGCGGAGCCGUAAGGUGAAAUACCGCUCUGUUCGCAUUGGAUGUCUAACCUCGAACAGUCAUCCUGUUCAGGGACAGUGCCUGGCGGGUAGUUUAACUGGGGCGGUUGCCUCCCAAAGAGUAACGGAGGCGCCCAAAGGUCCGCUCAGCCCGGUUGGCAAUCGGGUGGCGAGUGCAAGUGCACAAGCGGGCUUGACUGCGAGGACGACGGUCCGAGCAGGGACGAAAGUCGGGACUAGUGAUCCGGUGCCGGUGUACGGACGCGGCAUCGCUCAACGGAUAAAAGGUACCCCGGGGAUAACAGGCUGAUCAUUCCCAAGAGUCCAUAUCGACGGGAUGGUUUGGCACCUCGAUGUCGGCUCGUCGCAUCCUGGGGCUGGAGCAGGUCCCAAGGGUUCGGCUGUUCGCCGAUUAAAGCGGCACGCGAGCUGGGUUCAGAACGUCGUGAGACAGUUUGGUCUCUAUCCUCUGCGCUCGUUGGAAUGCUGAGGAGGCCUGCCCAUAGUACGAGAGGACCUGGGUGGACGAACCUCUGGUAUGCCGGUUGUCACGCCAGUGGCACGGCCGGUUGGCUACGUUCGGAAGGGAUAACCGCUGAAAGCAUCUAAGCGGGAAGCCUGCUCCAAGAUAAGCAUUCCGUGGAACCUUCGAGUUCCUGUAGUCCCCAUGCAGAACACGUGGUCGAUAGGCCGGACGUGGAAGCCCCGCGAGGGGUGGAGCCGACCGGUACUAACGGACGAAAGGU
RNAcentral lists this ribosomal RNA (1607 nucleotides) under metagenome. RNAcentral's name for it is "bacterial LSU rRNA". It matches the Rfam family "Bacterial large subunit ribosomal RNA", at positions 1418 to 2925 of the family's 2925-position model. The record is from RNAcentral.